UUUACACAUGGAGCAGGAAGCCCCACACUAUUUCUAUCAGGCUCGCUUACCAAAUCUCUAUGAUGGUCCAUUAUUCUAAUAGUUAUUGGUAAGAAAGUCUGUGGGUUUUUCCAAGUCCUCAGACCCUUGAGAUGUGUUGUGCUGUUACUGAAAAUGGAUGAAGAGGAUUGGGAAUUUACCUCCAUUCAAAGUCUUUUAUUUCUCCUCAACAUCAUUACCAAACCGUAUCGAAUUCCCUGGGGAUAUGUCUGCAGAUAUUACAUCGACCUGGAAUGGAAAAUGCAGGAGUAUUCUUAACUCUGAGUUCCCUUAGCAGCUUGUGCUCUUAGUGAGUUUUUUGGUUUUUUUUUCCCCUAUGAUCCAAAUGGUGUGGAUGGUGCUAUGUGACUAUGGAUGAAUCACCUAACUUCCCUUUUUCCCAGGCUAAUCUCUGAAACUAUAAAUUACAGAUGAAUGUCUGACCUGUACCAUUGGUUGGAAUGUCCACUCUAUCAAUUCUGAAUAAAUAAAUAAAAUCACAGGUUGGGAUUUUAAAA
Molecule: long non-coding RNA, 536 nt
Filed under: Monodelphis domestica (gray short-tailed opossum)
Lineage: Eukaryota; Metazoa; Chordata; Mammalia; Didelphimorphia; Didelphidae
Description: lncRNA (ENSMODG00000043929.1)
Source: RNAcentral